UAGGACGAACGCUGGCGGCGUGCCUAACACAUGCAAGUCGAACGAAGCACUUAACACGGAAUCCUUCGGGAGGAAGAGUUAUUUGACUGAGUGGCGGACGGGUGAGUAACGCGUGGGCAACCUGCCUUGUACAGGGGGAUAACAGUUGGAAACGACUGCUAAUACCGCAUAAGCCUACGGUAUCGCAUGAUACAGUAGGAAAAACUCCGGUGGUACAAGAUGGGCCCGCGUCUGAUUAGCUAGUUGGAGGGGUAACGGCCCACCAAGGCAACGAUCAGUAGCCGGCUUGAGAGAGUGACCGGCCACAUUGGGACUGAGACACGGCCCAA
RNAcentral lists this ribosomal RNA (329 nucleotides) under uncultured bacterium. Its description in RNAcentral is "bacterial SSU rRNA". It matches the Rfam family "Bacterial small subunit ribosomal RNA", at positions 26 to 334 of the family's 1533-position model. The record is from RNAcentral.